AACGUAGGGGGCAAGCGUUAUCCGGAAUUACUGGGUGUAAAGGGUGAGUAGGCGGCAUGGUAAGCCAGAUGUGAAAGCCCGCAGCUUAACUGCGGGACUGCAUUUGGAACUACUAAGCUAGAGUACAGGAGAGGUAAGCGGAAUUCCUAGUGUAGCGGUGAAAUGCGUAGAUAUUAGGAAGAACACCGGUGGCGAAGGCGGCUUACUGGACUGAAACUGACGCUGAGGCACGAAAGCGUGGGGAGCAAAC
RNAcentral lists this ribosomal RNA (250 nucleotides) under uncultured prokaryote. Its description in RNAcentral is "partial 16S ribosomal RNA". It matches the Rfam family "Bacterial small subunit ribosomal RNA", at positions 524 to 773 of the family's 1533-position model. The record is from RNAcentral.